Long non-coding RNA from Bombyx mori (domestic silkworm), 946 nucleotides. RefSeq lists it as uncharacterized. The transcript has 3 exons. The record is from RefSeq and is a predicted model, not a curated record. Lineage: Eukaryota; Metazoa; Arthropoda; Insecta; Lepidoptera; Bombycidae.
AGACUAAAAUUUUUCUACUAGUAAAGAAUUGUUAAUUCUAUAAAAAUCUCUAAAAAUACUUGGCAGUAUAAUUUCGACGCAGUGGCUUUAAUCUGAAAUCUGGAUAACUCGUUACCAAUAUGGCUGCAUGAAUGCGGAUUUCUAUUCGAAUUGGUCAAACGGUUACUUUUGCAAUAAAUAUCAAUGUAAACGUAUAAAAAAAAUUUGUUUGCAUUCUGAAAAUGUCACCGAAACUUUGUAUUUGCUAAUGUUUUAUAUAGAUUAAUAAAUUGAAGAAUUGUGUCUGUAACACUACGAAAUUCAUGUCGAACCGCACACAGACGCAUAUUUAAUUAAAGAAGAGACGACAGAAAAAGCGGGAAGAAGAGAUUUAAUCAAAACCUGAACAACAAUGGAGAAAGAAGUAAGGCGAAAAAUAGAAAAGUUCAAUUGAAGAUGAUUAUUGUUUUGUUAACUAUCUUGUUAAAUUGACUACUUGAAAUUUAAAUUAUAUUGUGGCAACACGACAGCAAUGCUCUAAUACAACUCUACAUGCUAUAUGGUCGAACUUGAGCACUUUUCCUAAUAGAUGUUGGACAAAAGUAUCUUAACUAACUCCAGCAGCUCAUACUGCUUCUUCGACAUCUUUCUAUAUUAUAACGGCUGCCCCACUCUUCAAACCAGAAGAAUUACCGGCUGUAAUUGGCGUGAUGGUUGUGCGGACUUCUGGUGGCUCACGUGUUUCCAUAAGAUCUUGGGUUCUAGAGUCAAUAGUCAUUACAAAGUGAAUAAAGGCAAGUUUGUGGGUCCUACCUAUGCGAGCUUCUAAUACACAUAGUACAACCAGCAAUACAAAAAAAAAAGAAUCAAGUAUCAUUUUUAGUCAUUUCAAAAUGAGUAGUUCUAGUAGCCGUAAACUAUUCGAAUACUUUUUAUAUGUAGUAAUAAUAAUAUUCUGCGAUGUGAU